RNAcentral lists this ribosomal RNA (525 nucleotides) under uncultured bacterium. RNAcentral's name for it is "bacterial SSU rRNA". It matches the Rfam family "Bacterial small subunit ribosomal RNA", at positions 21 to 518 of the family's 1533-position model. The record is from RNAcentral.
GGUUCAGGACGAACGCUGGCGGCGUGCCUAAUACAUGCAAGUCGAACGGUCUUUCUAUGGAAGCUUGCUUCCACUGAGAAGAUAGUGGCGAACGGGUGAGUAACACGUGGGUAACCUGCCCAUAAGAGGGGGGAUAACAUCCGGAAACGGGUGCUAAUACCGCAUAGUUUUCUUGAUCGCAUGAUUGGGAAAGGAAAGACGGCCUUUGUGCUGUCGCUUAUGGAUGGACCCGCGGCGUAUUAGUUAGUUGGUGAGGUAACGGCUCACCAAGACGAUGAUACGUAGCCGACCUGAGAGGGUGAUCGGCCACAUUGGGACUGAGACACGGCCCAAACUCCUACGGGAGGCAGCAGUAGGGAAUCUUCCACAAUGGACGAAAGUCUGACGGAGCAACGCCGCGUGAGUGAAAGAAGGUUUUCGGAUCGUAAAACUCUGUUGUCAGAGAAGAACAAGUUGGAGAGUAACUGCUCCAGCCUUGACGGUAUCUGACCAGAAAGCCACGGCUAACUACGUGCCAGCCGCCGC